This is an RNA transcript of Myotis davidii, 993 nucleotides long. It is a transcript of the gene named prostaglandin E synthase 3 (cytosolic)-like, with no coding region annotated. The record is from RefSeq and is a predicted model, not a curated record. The transcript has 8 exons. Lineage: Eukaryota; Metazoa; Chordata; Mammalia; Chiroptera; Vespertilionidae.
AAGGUCGCGUCUCUCCUGCCUCUGCAACCUUCCGCCGACCAUAUAAGGAGAGGCAGCUGCCGGGGCGUCACUCACCAGGAUCUAAAGAUAGUGACCCCGGACUCGACUCCCAACGCCACUGGGCUGCGGGGGCCGCCAUGGCACGGCAGCAUGCCCGGACCCUGUGGUAUGACAGGCCCAAGUACGUGUUCAUGGAGUUUUGUGUUGAGGACAGCACCGAUGUCCACGUGCUCUUAGAAGACCACCGCAUUGUGUUCAGCUGCAAGAAUGGGGAUGGAGUGGAGUUGUACAAUGAGAUUGAGUUCUACGCCAAGGUGAACUCCAAGGACUCCCAGGAUAAGCGCUCUGACCGCUCCAUUAGGUGCUUUGUGAGGAAAUGGAAGGAGAAAGUGGCCUGGCCUCGGCUCACCAAGGAGGAUAUCAAGCCAGUGUGGUUGUCUGUGGACUUUGAUAACUGGAGAGACUGGGAAGGGGAUGAAGAGGUGGAGCUGGCUCAGGUGGAACAUUACGCAGAGCUUUUGCAGAAGGUCAGCACUAAGAGACCUCCGCCUGCCAUGGACGACCUGGAUGAUGAUUCUGACAGUGCCGAUGCAACAAGUAGUUAACUUCUGCACGAUAGACCUGUGGAGGAAGCUGUGGCUGUCUUCCAGUCCUUCUGACAAGCUAGGGCCUGGGCCUUUGUCCAGCUGUUUGGCUGAGCACCAAGGUCCUCUGGGAUCUCAGAUCUUUCCUCGAAGCUCUUAAUUAAGUGUCUUCCUCCAUGCUUUAUUUCUUUUCCCUAUGCAUUUGACUAUGGCUGCUACAUCAGAUGGCAGAAUAGCAGAGGAGUAGACUGGUGGGACUGCUGACUUCCUGCCAACUAGCCAUAUUCUCUAUGUUUGGGCUGCCCAUCAGGGCUCUCGAAGACGCGUCCGCACUGAGGAUUGUCCCGCGCGGGCCUCCGUCCGCCCCAGGCGCUCCAGCGCGCGGGUCCCGCAUCCCGGGGACGGCGGC